RNAcentral lists this ribosomal RNA (253 nucleotides) under uncultured bacterium. Its description in RNAcentral is "partial 16S ribosomal RNA". It matches the Rfam family "Bacterial small subunit ribosomal RNA", at positions 524 to 776 of the family's 1533-position model. The record is from RNAcentral.
UACGGAGGAUGCAAGCGUUAUCCGGAAUGAUUGGGCGUAAAGCGUCCGCAGGUGGCAGUUCAAGUCUGCUGUCAAAGACCGGGGCUUAACUUCGGAAAGGCAGUGGAAACUGAACAGCUAGAGUAUGGUAGGGGCAGAGGGAGUUCCUGGUGUAGCGGUGAAAUGCGUAGAGAUCAGGAAGAACAUCGGUGGCGAAGGCGCUCUGCUGGACCAUAACUGACACUCAGGGACGAAAGCUAGGGGAGCGAAUGGG